Coffea arabica (coffee) is the source of this 259-nucleotide long non-coding RNA. RefSeq lists it as uncharacterized. The record is from RefSeq and is a predicted model, not a curated record. Lineage: Eukaryota; Viridiplantae; Streptophyta; Magnoliopsida; Gentianales; Rubiaceae.
AAGGAAACGGGAGGGAUAGCUGGUGCAGACUUGAGGGAACAAAGCUGGAAAAAAAAAUCUGAUCCAUCUGCAAUUCUUAACUCUUAAAGGCAAGAGGAGUUGGAGAUGGAAAAGUGAUUGGAUGGAAUUGGAACGUUGUUUUGGGAAAUUCCAUCACUAUGUGUAUAUAUUGGAGUCACGUUUUCUUUCGUAUUUUAAGAUGGUUGAAUCUUCUGUUUUGAGUUGAUGUAAUAUUAAGAAUGGAUGUUUAGAACGUGUA